UACAGAGGUGGCAAGCGUUGUUCGGAAUUAUUGGGCGUAAAGCGCACGUAGGCGGAUCUUUAAGUCAGGGGUGAAAUCCCGAGGCUCAACCUCGGAACUGCCCUUGAUACUGGGGAUCUCGAGUCCGGAAGAGGUUGGUGGAACUCCGAGUGUAGAGGUGAAAUUCGCAGAUAUCGGGAGGAACACCGGUGGCGAAGGCGGUUCUCUGGGCCAUUACUGACGCUGAGGAGCGAAAGCGUGGGGAGCGAACAGG
RNAcentral lists this ribosomal RNA (253 nucleotides) under uncultured bacterium. RNAcentral describes it as "partial 16S ribosomal RNA". It matches the Rfam family "Bacterial small subunit ribosomal RNA", at positions 524 to 776 of the family's 1533-position model. The record is from RNAcentral.